This 524-nucleotide ribosomal RNA is filed under the name fungal sp. XKGKDF1. Its description in RNAcentral is "eukaryotic LSU rRNA". The stretch from base 137 to 290 matches the Rfam family "5.8S ribosomal RNA". Lineage: Eukaryota; Fungi. The record is from RNAcentral.
CCUAUCACCCUGUGACAUACCUAUAACGUUGCCUCGGCGGGAACAGACGGCCCCGUAACACGGGCCGCCCCCGCCAGAGGACCCCCUAACUCUGUUUCUAUAAUGUUUCUUCUGAGUAAACAAGCAAAUAAAUUAAAACUUUCAACAACGGAUCUCUUGGCUCUGGCAUCGAUGAAGAACGCAGCGAAAUGCGAUAAGUAAUGUGAAUUGCAGAAUUCAGUGAAUCAUCGAAUCUUUGAACGCACAUUGCGCCCGCCAGUAUUCUGGCGGGCAUGCCUGUUCGAGCGUCAUUACAACCCUCAGGCCCCCGGGCCUGGCGUUGGGGAUCGGCGGAAGCCCCCUGCGGGCACAACGCCGUCCCCCAAAUACAGUGGCGGUCCCGCCGCAGCUUCCAUUGCGUAGUAGCUAACACCUCGCAACUGGAGAGCGGCGCGGCCACGCCGUAAAACACCCAACUUCUGAAUGUUGACCUCGAAUCAGGUAGGAAUACCCGCUGAACUUAAGCAUAUCAAUAAGCGGAGGAA